CUAUAUCCUUGCUUGCAGACUUGGCAAGUUCUUUUGCUUUAUCAUCAUCAAAACCAAGGGAUGCCAAUAUCUUGUGACCAGCUGAAUCUUCUUGCGCCCAUAUACCCAAAAGCAUAUAGGCCACUGUUAUCUCGCCAUCCUCACCUGAUUUCAGUUUUUCAUCAACAGCCCAAUCUAGCGCCUUCUGAGCUGGCUCAGUUAAUGGUGGAUGUUCAGGACUAAAGAAGUACAUGUCUGAUUUUCCAAGUAACUUGACAGUUUCCUCGCGUACUUUAAAAAGAGUAAUGCCAUUUGCACGAAGAAACUGUGCUGCUUGGCUUGUUCCCUCAACAAGGAUGCCCAUGAGCAGAGCCUCCGUCCCAGUAGUCGGAUACUUAAGCUUCCUCGCCUCCAGCUCGGCCAUGCCAAAGCUCUUUAUCGCCCUCGACGACCACUUCGUGUUGGUCCCACUAGAAGCCCUCUCCGGAUUCGCUGUGGGAAGCAUGGAGAGGACGGAUGCAGCAGCGGGAUGGGGGCGGCACGGGCGGUGGAGGAGUGGAG
Molecule: unclassified non-coding RNA, 540 nt
Filed under: Hevea brasiliensis (rubber tree)
Lineage: Eukaryota; Viridiplantae; Streptophyta; Magnoliopsida; Malpighiales; Euphorbiaceae
Source: RNAcentral